RNAcentral lists this ribosomal RNA (253 nucleotides) under uncultured bacterium. RNAcentral describes it as "partial 16S ribosomal RNA". It matches the Rfam family "Bacterial small subunit ribosomal RNA", at positions 524 to 776 of the family's 1533-position model. The record is from RNAcentral.
UACGGGGGGUGCGAGCGUUGUCCGGAAUCACUGGGCGUAAAGGGCGCGUAGGUGGCGUGAUAAGGGUGUGGUGAAAGCCCGGGGCUCAACCCCGGGUCUGCCAUGCCGACUGUCAGGCUGGAGUACUGUAGGGGCAGGCGGAAUUCCGGGUGUAGCGGUGGAAUGCGUAGAGAUCCGGAGGAAGACCGGUGGCGAAGGCGGCCUGCUGGGCAGUUACUGACACUGAUGCGCGGCAGCGUGGGGAGCAAACAGG